AUUGAACGCUGGCGGCAGGCCUAACACAUGCAAGUCGAGCGGAUGAAGGGAGCUUGCUCCUGGAUUCAGCGGCGGACGGGUGAGUAAUGCCUAGGAAUCUGCCUGGUAGUGGGGGAUAACGUCCGGAAACGGGCGCUAAUACCGCAUACGUCCUGAGGGAGAAAGUGGGGGAUCUUCGGACCUCACGCUAUCAGAUGAGCCUAGGUCGGAUUAGCUAGUUGGCGGGGUAAAGGCCUACCAAGGCGACGAUCCGUAACUGGUCUGAGAGGAUGAUCAGUCACACUGGAACUGAGACACGGUCCAGACACCUACGGGAGGCAGCAGUGGGGAAUAUUGGACAAUGGGCGAAAGCCUGAUCCAGCCAUGCCGCGUGUGUGAAGAAGGUCUUCGGAUUGUAAAGCACUUUAAGUUGGGAGGAAGGGCAGUAAGUUAAUACCUUGCCGUUUUGACGUUACCAACAGAAUAAGCACCGGCUAACUUCGUG
RNAcentral lists this ribosomal RNA (484 nucleotides) under uncultured bacterium. Its description in RNAcentral is "partial 16S ribosomal RNA". It matches the Rfam family "Bacterial small subunit ribosomal RNA", at positions 30 to 507 of the family's 1533-position model. The record is from RNAcentral.